Molecule: long non-coding RNA, 203 nt
Organism: Oncorhynchus tshawytscha (Chinook salmon)
Lineage: Eukaryota; Metazoa; Chordata; Actinopteri; Salmoniformes; Salmonidae
Exons: 4
Source: RefSeq, a predicted model, not a curated record
GGGAGAGGGGAUGACAUCUGGACCCAGAGGAUCACGAGGGCCAAAGGGUGAGCGUGGCGUUCCUGGUGUACCAGGAGACCUAGGGGAGAAAGGAGAGCCUGGUCUGGGCGUUGAAGGACCUCCUGGCCCCAUGGGACAGAGAGGAGAGAGAGGAUUUGAGGGCCCUCGUGGACCCUCUGGAUUCUCAGGCCCUGCUGGGACCC